Molecule: ribosomal RNA, 732 nt
Filed under: Pseudomonas sp. PTYT-8
Lineage: Bacteria; Pseudomonadati; Pseudomonadota; Gammaproteobacteria; Pseudomonadales; Pseudomonadaceae
Description: bacterial SSU rRNA
Rfam family: Bacterial small subunit ribosomal RNA
Source: RNAcentral
CGAGCGGUAGAGAGAAGCUUGCUUCUCUUGAGAGCGGCGGACGGGUGAGUAAUGCCUAGGAAUCUGCCUGGUAGUGGGGGAUAACGUUCGGAAACGGACGCUAAUACCGCAUACGUCCUACGGGAGAAAGCAGGGGACCUUCGGGCCUUGCGCUAUCAGAUGAGCCUAGGUCGGAUUAGCUAGUUGGUGGGGUAAUGGCUCACCAAGGCGACGAUCCGUAACUGGUCUGAGAGGAUGAUCAGUCACACUGGAACUGAGACACGGUCCAGACUCCUACGGGAGGCAGCAGUGGGGAAUAUUGGACAAUGGGCGAAAGCCUGAUCCAGCCAUGCCGCGUGUGUGAAGAAGGUCUUCGGAUUGUAAAGCACUUUAAGUUGGGAGGAAGGGCAGUUGCCUAAUACGUAACUGUUUUGACGUUACCGACAGAAUAAGCACCGGCUAACUCUGUGCCAGCAGCCGCGGUAAUACAGAGGGUGCAAGCGUUAAUCGGAAUUACUGGGCGUAAAGCGCGCGUAGGUGGUUUGUUAAGUUGGAUGUGAAAUCCCCGGGCUCAACCUGGGAACUGCAUUCAAAACUGACUGACUAGAGUAUGGUAGAGGGUGGUGGAAUUUCCUGUGUAGCGGUGAAAUGCGUAGAUAUAGGAAGGAACACCAGUGGCGAAGGCGACCACCUGGACUAAUACUGACACUGAGGUGCGAAAGCGUGGGGAGCAAACAGGAUUAGAUACCCUGG